RNAcentral lists this non-coding RNA (45 nucleotides) under Schistosoma haematobium. Lineage: Eukaryota; Metazoa; Platyhelminthes; Trematoda; Strigeidida; Schistosomatidae. The record is from RNAcentral.
AUCUAGCUGACAAGUCCCGAAUAGGACGAAACGCGUGUUCUGGAU